AGAUAAGAGUGGAGCUAUGUAGAAUAGAUAUUAAUUCAUUUUUUAAAGAUAUUGGUAAAAUAUAUUAAUAGUCCAUAUAAUAGAAAAUUCAGGAGGACAGAUGAGUGAUUUAGUUAUUAAAAGCAGUUAAUUAUAAAAUUACAGUUAGAAUCUGGAGAAUCAGGGAAAAGUAUAUAGGAGUUGUAGAAGUUAAUUGAGGUACCAUCGCUGUGAUAUUGUGAGCCAGGGUAAGCUUGGUGCUACCUCUUUUCUUUUGUUUGUUAUUUUCUUUGAAUAAGAGGAUUGAAAGUUUCUGAAUAUUAUGAAGUAAAUUAUGGAAUGGAAAUGUGAUUGGUAUUAUUUGAAAAGAAGAA
This 353-nucleotide long non-coding RNA is filed under the name Physcomitrium patens. RNAcentral's name for it is "long non-coding RNA (PPAT_LNC013255)". The record is from RNAcentral. Lineage: Eukaryota; Viridiplantae; Streptophyta; Bryopsida; Funariales; Funariaceae.